UCCUACGGGGGGCAGCAGUGAGGAAUAUUGGUCAAUGGUCGGGAGACUGAACCAGCCAAGCCGCGUGAGGGAUGAAGGUACAGAGUAUCGUAAACCUCUUUUGUCAGGGAACAAAGGCGGGGACGUGUCCCCGGAUGAGUGUACCUGAAGAAAAAGCAUCGGCUAACUCCGUGCCAGCGGCCGCGGUAAUACGGAGGAUGCGAGCGUUAUCCGGAUUUAUUGGGUUUAAAGGGUGCGCAGGCGGUCUGUUAAGUCAGCGGUCAAAGCCCGGGGCUCAACCCCGGCCCGCCGUUGAAACUGGCAGG
This 305-nucleotide ribosomal RNA is filed under the name uncultured bacterium. RNAcentral's name for it is "bacterial SSU rRNA". It matches the Rfam family "Bacterial small subunit ribosomal RNA", at positions 337 to 640 of the family's 1533-position model. The record is from RNAcentral.